Molecule: long non-coding RNA, 1937 nt
Organism: Oryctolagus cuniculus (rabbit)
Lineage: Eukaryota; Metazoa; Chordata; Mammalia; Lagomorpha; Leporidae
Source: Ensembl
UCAGAUUCGUGCUAAUUACGGGUAUAAGGAAAUUACAACGAUCAUAUUUCACUUGAUUUAAACCCAGCCAAUAUUUAGGGAACAAUAGUAGGUACUAAGCCCUAGAGAAAAAUCCAACUUAAACCAAACCAGGCCCCUCUGCCACAGCAGUUUUUCCUCAAAGGAGAUGUUUUUAGGUAGUAUCAGGAUGAGAUUUUUUUUUUUUUUUUGAAGUUUUGUAUUUGAGAGGCAAAGAGAGAGAGAGAGGACUUCCACCUGUUGGUUCACUCCCCAAAUGGUUGCAAGGGCCAGAGCUGAGCCUAUCCAAACCCAGGAGACAGGAGCUUCUUCUGGGUCUCCCAUGGGGGUGCAGGGCCUCAAACACUUGGGCCAUUUUUUUUAGUGCUCUCCCAGGCCAUUAGCACGGAGUCGGAUUGGAAGUGGAGCAGCUGGGACUCGAACUAGUGCUCACAUGAGAUGCCGGCCCAGCAGGCACCGGCUUAGCUUACUAUACGGCAGUGCUGGCCCUGAGAUUUUUUUUUUUUUUUUAAGAGUGUAUUUAUGUCACUGUGCACCAGGAAUAUAGCAAGGACAUCAAAUCUGGGAUUUCAUGAUUCCUCUUGUUUAGAAAAGGGUUAAAGAGGGUAUGUGAGGCUGUUUAAUGACAUUAGGUAAACCACACAGAAAUGGCCAGUUGAGGGGGUCAUGGCUAAUUUGCAGGAGGUAGGAGCGCAGUGGGAGAGGAUGACGUGUGCUCCUGAUGGGGACACAGGGGCCACGCUGGCUUCUGGGCUGGGGACAAGGAGGGCUUUAUGCAGGAGGUAGGACUGGCGAUGGGCCUUGAGGAGGCGCUCCACGGCUGUAGGAAAUGCAGGCCACUUGGUGGGAGGAGUGCAGGGGAGGUCACAGCAGCGGUGCUGGCAAAGCAGAAAGGGGACGGGUGCUGAACUGGGCGGUGGGAAGGGGACCAGGAGGAGGAGGAAGAGCCACGAAGCUUUCCCCCAUGGCCAGGCCCAGACGGCGGUGUCUCCUGCCUCGCCUUCCUGAAGAUGCAGGUGGCCAAGUUGGACUUGCCGGCUGCUUCACUCAUGGCCAACGGGCCCAGAGGUAAGGCCAGAGCUCCAUGCAGGCGAGUGUCCCUCUUUCCUAAGACCGGUCACUCUGAGCCCAGCUGCACAAGUUGGGGUCCCUAAGAUUCACCUCCCACCCCCUGCUCCCUCUGCCUUAUUCUGUCUUUAGGGACUGGACUAUCCGGCUGCUCCAGAUUCAACCUCUCCUCUAGGGAGGUGAUGAGCUGCAGCUUGGACUCUGCCCCUACCUCCUCAGAAUCCCAUCUCCCUGCUUCACGGCCCCUACCAGCCCCACCAGCCAGCUGCCGGGGGCAUGGUGGCUCUGGCCAGCACAGGCUUUCAGGGAAAGGUGCGCCAGCAGCCGUGGGCAACUGAGGGAGGAGUCCAGGCAGGCGAAGCAAAGAGCCCCAUGGUGUGGUGUGGGCGGGGCCACAGGUCCCUUGGGCAGCCUGCUCCUUCUGGGAGGAGGAAGAGGGCCCCUUUCCCCCGGAGCUGGGGGACGUCCUCUGGGGCCAGAGCCACCUCGAUCAGUGAGACAACAUUAAACAAGUAGCAUGAGGGCUGCUGUGGAUUAACGCCCUGGCCUGAAGCACCAGCAUCCCAUAUGGGCGCCGGUUCGAGGCUUGGCUGCUCCACUUCCGAUCCAGCUCUCUGCUAUGGCCUGGGAAAGCAGUAGAAGAUGGCCCAAGUCCUUGGGCCCUUGCACCCGCAUGGAAGAUUCGGAAGAAGCUACUGGCUCCUGACUUCAGAUCGGCGCAGCUCUGGCCAUUGUGGCCAACUGGGGAGUGAACCAGCGGAUGAAGACCGACCUCUCUCGGCCUCCCUUCUCUCACUGUGUAACUCUGACUCUCAAAUAAAUAAAUAAAUAAAUAAAUCUUAAAAAAAAAA